RNAcentral lists this long non-coding RNA (458 nucleotides) under Xyrichtys novacula (pearly razorfish). Lineage: Eukaryota; Metazoa; Chordata; Actinopteri; Labriformes; Labridae. The record is from RNAcentral.
CUUGUUUCUAUUAUUAUUCAUAUUGGACUUCCUUUGCGUGUCUUGUUAAAUGUUUGUUAAACUAUCCCUUUAAUGUUUUCCCAGGUAGAAAUGAAUCUCCUCCAGGAAAUGUUUGUAUUUGUGCUGCAUGGUUGUAUUUUUCCACAGGGUUCAUGUUGGUCUUUGUCUGCAGGGGGGGAGGAUUCUGGAUCAUAUCCAGGUCAGUGCAGGUAGGUGUAAGCUAGUCAAACCCAUACGCCUCUAUCCUAAUCCAUCUGUUAGUAUCUACCUUCAGUCAAAACUUUCUUAAUGCUCUUAUCGUCCUUUACCACAAACACACAGUUCAUGUCGUCCUCCAUUGAAGCCAUAACUUCAGGUAUAUUCAGGUGAUAACAGUAUUGAGUAAAUACUGUUUGUCUUUUCCCAGCAUUCCUCAGAUGCUCCGCCUCAGGACUUGGAGAUUGUCACACACACACACA